Molecule: ribosomal RNA, 253 nt
Filed under: uncultured bacterium
Lineage: Bacteria
Description: partial 16S ribosomal RNA
Rfam family: Bacterial small subunit ribosomal RNA
Source: RNAcentral
UACGUAGGGGGCAAGCGUUGUCCGGAAUCAUUGGGCGUAAAGCGCGUGUAGGCGGCUUUGCAAGUCGGGUGUGAAAGCCCUCAGCUUAACUGAGGAACUGCCUGUCAGACUGGAAGGCUUGAGACCGGGAGAGGUGAGUGGAAUUCCCAGUGUAGCGGUGAAAUGCGUAGAUAUUGGGAGGAACACCAGUGGCGAAGGCGGCUCACUGGACCGGAACUGACGCUGAGGCGCGAAAGCGUGGGGAGCAAACAGG